UUUAUUUCGUUAAUUCCUUUUUCCUCCCCGAUUCCUUUCUCUCCUCUCCUUCAUUGCGCCGAACCCUUUUCCCCGAGUCCUCACCCCGCGAUUCGCCGCACCACCGCCGACCGCGAUGAACCGCACAGCCGGCGACUUCUUCUCCCUCGAGCUAUAGCCGCUGGCUCUUCUUCUCGCAAGGGCACCACACAGCUAGCCUUUCCUCCCUCACGCGAGCACCGGAGACAAGCCACGGUACCUGAUCGCACGGCGUUGCUCAGGCUGCCGCUCGCCGGAGCUUUCUAUUCCUCAGCCUCUCAUCAACAUCUCUGCUAGAUACACACCUUCUCAGACCUUUGCUCCGCACAGCCCGAUCUUCAGCGAAAGGGUGGGAAAGCCGAGCCCUAGCUGCCUAUUGUGGAUGCCGAUCUCCCUCUUCAUCACUGGAUUUGGAUCAAGGAGAUCCACUGCUUCCCUCAUCAUCAAAUCUUGGACCAAGGAGGUCCAACACCAUCUCCUUCCACCAAAGAAAUAUUCUACCUUCUCGGAGCCCUGCCCUAGCCUAGGCCAGCAACACGCUGCUAUUCAUUACCGCCUUUGCUCAUGAUCACAGCAGUAGCAUUCAUCCGAGAGGAGUUUAUGGAAUUGGAUUGAUUCUUGAAGACAGUGGCUUCGCUUGGCUUCGCUCUUCACAUCGCCGAUGGUUUGUGGCUGACUCCGUCUGAUCCGUGUCAAUUUCUGGUUGUUGAAGAAGAAGAGGAUUUCGAUAUGAGAUGAGCGUCUUGACGUGAGAUCGUUUGAUAUGAUCGACAUAUAAAGGCGGGUAUUUCUUGCGUUAUUUGUAUUUUGGAUUUUGUACUUGUUUAUGUAUUUGUAUUGUCUUGUAUUGGGUUUGAUAUUAUUGUGUCAAGCCGAGCCAGCUCGCAGUUAGUUGA
Zingiber officinale is the source of this 914-nucleotide long non-coding RNA. RefSeq lists it as uncharacterized. NCBI's taxonomy places the organism in Eukaryota, Viridiplantae, Streptophyta, Magnoliopsida, Zingiberales, Zingiberaceae. The transcript has 3 exons. The record is from RefSeq and is a predicted model, not a curated record.